ACACGUAGGGGCCUAAGCGCGCCUCUCGGGACUAAAGUGCGAACAACGACAAACUCCAUAUGACCGCAUAUAUUUAUUCGCAGCUCGUGAUUUCGCCAGAUAUAUAAAAUUUUCAGUGUUGAGGUAGUUCUUCGUAGUGCUACAACCACUUCUGUAAUUUUUCUUCAGCAACGACGAGCUUAAGAACAAAGAAACGCAGAAGAAACAGGAAACAACAAAUUAUCCAUAAAUAAUAACGACUUCAAUGACAAUAACUGCGCGGUGAUACGGUUACCUUACUUAUUCGUUAUAGUUGGCCAGUGCCAUCAAAGGAAUACAAUGUGAGAGACGAACGAACAAGCCCAGCGAUGAUAUCAAGUCGCGGCUAAAAGAUUUACAAGAACUUUUCGCGGAGCCACAGAAAACAGACGAGAAACUCGACGACAAAAAAUAGUUUAAAUAGAAUAAUCAGUUCAUUUGUUAUUUAAAUUCACUGCCGUCAAUGCUUGCUUAUUACUACUUCUACUGCAGCUAUUGUUACAAUGGCGCCAAGGUGAAAUAACUUUGCCGUAAGACGUCGCACCCCGAACUGCCUCCGACUCCAGGGGACUACGAACCUUAAAAAGUACAUAGUGUUACUUGUAUUUGUUAGAAAGCAAACAAGAACAGGGACGUCGGAAACAAACAGGAAGUACGUGAGAGUGAGCUAAGGAGUUGCACAGAAAUAUAGUUCGAAAAGGCACCAAGGCAUUCAAAUGAGGAUCAAGCAGACCUCAGGAUUACCCCAAACAAGGACAAGCCGAAAAGAGUGGCGAUAUCAUUCAGGAAUAACGCUAGUUGGAACAAAUAGUGACAGCGUCGGCGGCGGCGGCGGCGGCGGCGGCGGCGGCAUCGACGGGAACAAAAACAGAAACGACACCCAGCAACGUACAACGUUUGUGGCAACGACAAAGACAAAAGUCGCUAACGUCAUUACAGAAACGCCAACGACGAACGUAACCUUAUUACAACUAACAAGAACGAUCGCAAAGUCAGCAACGUUUCGCGCGCAAGAGACAGUAAACAAAACGUCAGAUUGCAAUGAAAGCUAACCAUGCGACAAUAACAGGACUAGCGCAAAACACGCGAAGCAGCGUAUGAAAAGACCAUGUACUUAGCGGUACGGUAUGUCUCGAUCGGCUUCCGCAGCUUCAAGCGGUUUUCGUUGAGUGCUUCGCGCUGAAGACCGUGGACCUUCGGCCGACUCGGAAGAGAUGAAGCGCCACCGGUACUCCGGCAGCCGACGCGCCCACAAAGGCGGUGGAUAGUCGCGGCGCCCAGAGCCGCAGAGGCAUUAUGUCACAAGCACACGAACACAGGAGCAUAACCGCGAAACCAUAAUCGUUUUUUCUUAAUGUUAUCAGUA
Long non-coding RNA from Varroa destructor (honeybee mite), 1384 nucleotides. NCBI's taxonomy places the organism in Eukaryota, Metazoa, Arthropoda, Arachnida, Mesostigmata, Varroidae. The record is from RefSeq and is a predicted model, not a curated record.